Acanthosepion pharaonis is the source of this 110-nucleotide non-coding RNA. Lineage: Eukaryota; Metazoa; Mollusca; Cephalopoda; Sepiida; Sepiidae. The record is from the annotation of a GenBank genome assembly.
UGGCCACAUCAUGUUGAAACACCAGUUCCUGUCUAAUCACCAAAGUUAAGCAACAGCGUGCCUGAUCAGUACCUAGAUGGGUGAGCCCUUUUGAAUACCAGGUGAUGUAA